This 242-nucleotide long non-coding RNA is filed under the name Lathyrus oleraceus (garden pea). Its description in RNAcentral is "Pisum sativum (pea) long non-coding RNA (PSAT_LNC003277)". The record is from RNAcentral. Lineage: Eukaryota; Viridiplantae; Streptophyta; Magnoliopsida; Fabales; Fabaceae.
UUUUCUUUCUCUUUUUCUCGUGCAUCAUGUAUACUCUGGGGGUUAAUUUCACUCUUUUGACUCUUUUUCUACUCAAAUUUUUCGAGCAUUUUAUAGGUGUUAGAGUCUUAAGUCUCGGCAAAUGCAUUUUUCUCUUUUGUUUUUCUUUUCUCUUUUUUUUUCUUUUUUUUUCUUUUAAAGAACAUACAUACUAUUUUUCUUUUUGUAUGAUCUCUUAUUAUGCACUUGCCUUCUCUUUCAAG